AUGUUCCGGGAUUCAUCCAAUGGCAUUGAGGAAAACACCACCUCAGUCAUCGGCUUCAUCUAUAAGUGCAUCGAUGACGUCAUCCCCACAGUGACUGUACGUACAUAUCCCAACCAGAAGCCAUGGAAUACAGGCAACAUCCGCAUCAAGCUAAAGGCUAGAGCUGCCGCUUCAAGGAGCGGGAGACUAAUCUGGACGCUUAUGAGAAAUCCCGCUAUGCCUUCAGACGAACCAACCUACUACACCGGCUCUGACGCUCGUCGGAUGUGGCAGGGCUUGAAAACUAUUACAGACUACAAAGGGAAACCCAGACACGAGCUGCCCAGUGACGCGAGCAUACCAGGUGAGCUAAAUGCCUUUUGUGCUCCCUUCGAAGCAAGCAACACUGAAGCAUGCAUGAGAGCACCAGCUGUUCUGGAUGACUGUGUGAUAACGCUCUUGGUAGCCGAUGUGAACAAAACCUUUGAACAGGUCAAGGUUCACAAAGCCGCUGAGCCAGACGGAUUACCAGGACAUGUACACAAAGCAUGCGCGGACCAACUGUCAAGUGUCUUCACUGACAUUUUCAACCUCUCCCUGACUGAGUCUGUAAUACCUACAUCUUUCAAGCAGACCACCAUAGUCCCUGUGCCCAAGGAAGCGAAGAUAGCCUGCCUACCUGAUUACCGCCCCGUGGCACUCACGUCGGUAGCCAUGAAGUGCUUAGAAAAGCUGGUCAUGGCUCACAUCAACAGCAUCCUCCCGGACACCCUAGACCCACUCCAAUUCGCAUACCGCCCCAACAGAUCCACAGAUGACGCAAUCUCAUUCGCACUCCACACUGCCCUUUCUCACCUGUACAAAAGGAACACCUAUGUGAGAAUGCUGUUCAUUGACUACAGCUCAUCAUUCAACACCAUAGUGCCCACGAAGCUCAUCAGUAGGCUAAGGACUCUGGGACUAAACACCUCCCUCUGCAACUGGAUCCUGGACUUCCUGGAGGGCCGCCCCCAGGUGGUAAGAGUAGGCAACAACACAUCUGCCACGCUGAUCCUUAACACGGGGGCCUCUCAGGGGUGUGUACUUAGUCCACUCCUGUACUCCCUGUUCACUGUGUGGCCAAACACGACUCCAACACCAUCAUUAAGUUUGCUGACGACACAACAGCCUGAUCACCAACAACGAUGA
RNAcentral lists this long non-coding RNA (1167 nucleotides) under Oncorhynchus mykiss (rainbow trout). RNAcentral's name for it is "lncRNA (ENSOMYG00000000399.2)". The record is from RNAcentral. Lineage: Eukaryota; Metazoa; Chordata; Actinopteri; Salmoniformes; Salmonidae.